CCUACGGGAGGCAGCAGUGGGGAAUAUUGGGCAAUGGGCGCAAGCCUGAACCAGCCAAGCCGCGUAAAGGAAGAAGGCUCUCGGGUUGUUAACUUCUUUUGUCAGGGACGAAGCAAGUGACGGUACCUGACGAAUAAGCCACGGCUAACUACGUGCCAGCAGCCGCGGUAAUACGUAGGUGGCAAGCGUUAUCCGGAUUUACUGGGUGUAAAGGGCGUGUAGGCGGGGAAGUAAGUCAGAUGUGAAAACCACGGGCUCAACCUGUGGCUUGCAUUUGAAACUGGUUUUCUUGAGUGCUGGAGAGGCAAGCGGAAUUCGGGGUGUAGCGGUGAAAUGCGUAGAUAUACGGAGGAACACCAGUGGCGAAGGCGGAUUGCUGGACAGUAACUGACGCUGAGGCGCGAAAGCGUGGGGAGCAAACAGGAUUAGAUACCCGUGUAGUC
Molecule: ribosomal RNA, 443 nt
Filed under: uncultured bacterium
Lineage: Bacteria
Description: partial 16S ribosomal RNA
Rfam family: Bacterial small subunit ribosomal RNA
Source: RNAcentral